Molecule: RNA transcript, 1648 nt
Organism: Metopolophium dirhodum (rose-grain aphid)
Lineage: Eukaryota; Metazoa; Arthropoda; Insecta; Hemiptera; Aphididae
Exons: 10
Source: RefSeq, a predicted model, not a curated record
CUCGUGGGCGUCGCAGUUCACACACGUCACGGAUUCCGCCGAAAGAGUCGAUACUUAAAACUGAACUUUUGGAUCGAAGAUAUGCAUUUUCCUUGGCGGAGAUGCACAACUCUGACACUAGACAAUAUUAUACACUCGAAGGGAACGCGUUUCGCCGGAAGAAUAAAUAAUUACAAUUGGUAUUCGUCAGUGAAAAUUUUCAAACUGGGAAUAAUAUUAUAUCAUAAGCAGAUUGAAAUGUGUGAACGUUUCAGUGCUUCGAAGACUAAGUUUCGUAGCAGAUUUUGAUUCCGUCACGGGAUUUUGGAGAUUUUAGUUUGAAGUUUGAAUGUGUAUUCCUACAAUAUAAUUUAUUUAAAUGCCGAUCUGCAGCGUCGUGAAGGUUACAAGUAUGAAGCGUCAUAGGUAUAAUUAGAAAUUGAAUAAUGUUUUUUUAUAUUGCCCCAUAGACCUAAUUACAUAUAAAUAUUGUAAAAAGAGACAUGCCUUAUUUUUGAAGUUCGACCAAUGUAUUCUGAUGGACGAGGAGAGCUUUCCCGAGACACUCAGUGCCUAUAUGGCAGAAAAGUGUGACCAGGUGAAAGUGGCUGUGGACCCCGUUUUGCGGCGCCGGCGGAAAUAUAAUCCAGCUUGCCUGACCGUUCGACAAAGUCAUUUCUGUAGAUAUUGACGUAGACAUAAGAUAGUGAUGGCCAAGCAAAAUGCCGCGAUUUAUGGCGUACUAAAGAUUGAGUUCGUUGUUGGAGACUUUUUCAAACUGGCAAAUCAGAUACAGGGUAACUUUAUAGUCACAUCGCCACCAUGGUGCGGUCCAGAAUACAACAAAAUGGAUGUUAUCGAAAAUGUGUUUAUUUAAAAACUGUUUAACUCGACGUUGCUGUAUGUCUGGUCCAAUAAUAACAAUGCCGUAUCAGACGUCGCUCCCAAACCGGUCGACAUCCAUCUGCAUAGCUCAUUCCGCAAGAAUUAGCGGUAUAGUUUGAAAACUUACCAAAGUUAUCUGGUGGAUGUCGAUACGUUGGUGAGCAGCCGUCACACAUCGGUCUGAUGUAGCUACGGAAAGUUAUUAUUGGAUCGGUCAUAAUAUUACGUUGAGAAGUUAUCUGUUCAUGAACUCAUUUGCAGAUUUGUUGAGGUGUAACAGCAUUUUAGGAGCUAUUGUAAUUCCCACUUUAUCAUACAUAUAGCCCGAUGACCUACAUUUUUGUGUAUUCUGGUCUACCCUAUGAUGACCGCGAAGUAACGAUCACGUCACCGUUUAACAGAUUGCCCAGUUUAAAAGAGUAUCCAACAAUUUCAUCGGAUAGGUACGCCAUAAAUCGUGGCAUAGCGCUGGGCCAGCAUAAUUUUGUCCGGAUCAAUAUCUACAAAAAUGACAUCCCAAUUAUUAGAAGCUAAUAAUAUAGUGUCUUUGUCGAACAGUCAGCUGUACGAAAUUUCCGCUGCGCCACAAAACGGGUCGACGCCGGUCGCUGAACAUGGGAAGUCCUCAAGUCCACCCAGAAUCGUAUUGAUGAAUCAACAAUACAUCUUACAUCUUAAAUCUAACAUCUUAAAUCUUACAUAUAUCAUUGCAAUCUUAUAAUUAUUCACCUGAAUGCAUGUAAUCCUGAAUGUACAGUUAAUUUAUUGCUACCCAUCUACAAAG